This 22-nucleotide non-coding RNA is filed under the name Arabidopsis thaliana (thale cress). The record is from RNAcentral. Lineage: Eukaryota; Viridiplantae; Streptophyta; Magnoliopsida; Brassicales; Brassicaceae.
ACUCCUAAGUGUGCGUUGGAUA